CCUAAGGUAGCGAAAUUCCUUGUCAGGUAAGUUCUGACCCGCACGAAUGGCGUAACGAUUUGGGCACUGUCUCAACAGCCUACCCGGCGAAAUUGUAGUACCGGUGAAGAUGCCGGUUACCCGCAACUAGACGGAAAGACCCCAUGGAGCUUUACUGCAGCUUAAUACUGAGAUUCGGUAAUUCAUGUACAGGAUAGGUGGGAGACUUAGAAGCAGAGUCGUUAGGCGCUGUGGAGUCACCCUUGGGAUACCACCCUUGGAUUGCUGGGUUUCUAACCUGCGGCCAUGAAUCUGGUCGGGGGACACUGUUAGGCGGGCAGUUUGACUGGGGCGGUCGCCUCCUAAAGUGUAGCGGAGGCGCUCAAAGCUUGGCUCAGCAUGGAUGGAAAUCAUGCAAUGAGUGUAAACGUAUAAGCCAAGUUGACUGCGAGACCGACGGGUCGAGCAGGUACGAAAGUAGGAGUUAGUGAUCCGGUGGUAUGUGAGUGGAAAUGCCAUCGCUCAACGGAUAAAAGCUACCCUGGGGAUAACAGGCUGAUCUCCCCCAAGCGUCCACAGCGACGGGGAGGUUUGGCACCUCGAUGUCGGCUCGUCGCAUCCUGGGGCUGUAUUCGGUCCCAAGGGUUUGGCUGUUCGCCAAUUAAAGCGGCACGCGAGCUGGGUUCAGAACGUCGUGAGACAGUUCGGUCCCUAUCUGUUGCGGGCGUAAGAGAUUUGAAGGGAGCUGUCCUUAGUACGAGAGGACCGGGAUGGACUGACCGCUGGUGCACCAGUUGUUCUGCCAAGAGCAUAGCUGGGUAGCUACGUCGGGACGAGAUAAACGCUGAAGGCAUCUAAGCGUGAAACUCCCCCUAAGAUAAGAUCUCUCAUCCUUUAUGGAGUAAGGCUCGUCGUAGACUAUGACGUUGAUAGGUCAGAGGUGGAAGCGCCGUAAGGUGUGUAGCUGACUGAUACUAAUAAGCCGAGGGCUUGACCU
RNAcentral lists this ribosomal RNA (976 nucleotides) under human gut metagenome. RNAcentral describes it as "bacterial LSU rRNA". It matches the Rfam family "Bacterial large subunit ribosomal RNA", at positions 1950 to 2925 of the family's 2925-position model. The record is from RNAcentral.